CAGCCGCCGCGGGAAUACGAAGGGUGCAAGCGUUAAUCGGAAUUACUGGGCGUAAAGCGUGCGCAGGCGGUUUGUUAAGACAGAUGUGAAAUCCCCGGGCUCAACCUGGGAACUGCAUUUGUGACUGGCAAGCUAGAGUGUGGCAGAGGGGGGUGGAAUUCCGCGUGUAGCAGUGAAAUGCGUAGAUAUGCGGAGGAACACCGAUGGCGAAGGCAGCCCCCUGGGCCAAUACUGACGCUCAUGCACGAAAGCGUGGGGAGCAAACAGGAUUAGAUACCCCUGUAGUCCCUGUCUCUUAUAC
Molecule: ribosomal RNA, 301 nt
Filed under: uncultured bacterium
Lineage: Bacteria
Description: partial 16S ribosomal RNA
Rfam family: Bacterial small subunit ribosomal RNA
Source: RNAcentral